RNAcentral lists this ribosomal RNA (519 nucleotides) under uncultured eukaryote. RNAcentral describes it as "bacterial SSU rRNA". It matches the Rfam family "Eukaryotic small subunit ribosomal RNA", at positions 1161 to 1441 of the family's 1831-position model. The record is from RNAcentral.
AAGGCACCACCAGGCGUGGAGCCUGCGGCUUAAUUUGACUCAACACGGGCCAUCUUACCAGGCCAGCACUCUGGCAUGAUUGACAGAUUGAGAGCUCUUUCUCGAUUCAGUGGACGGUGGUGCAUGGCCGUUCUUAGUUGGUGGAGUGAUCUGUCUGGUUAAUUCCGAUAACGAACGAGACUCUCCUCUGCUAAAUAGUCGGCUGGAUCUUGAAUUGCUGAGUUGCUCAUUGCCACGUUCGCGUGCGCUUAGCUUCCUGUGGCGUGCUCUGGGGUCCCCGUUUGGGUGUGGGGUGUGAUCUUGGUCUUGUUGUGUGUUGGCUCACUUUGUGUGGGUUUUUCGCGCUCGAGGCCUUGUUAUGCCUUUUUCGUCCUGCGGGCCUGGAUGUUGCGUUCAGUGGGGCGGCGUGUUGUUGGGCGCGUGUCUUUGGCACUCCAAGUCCGUCGGCUCACACCCACGCAAGUGGGUUGUGUGGUGCAAGUUCUUCUUAGAGAGAUUGACGGCUCUGAAGCCGUACGA